Long non-coding RNA from Scaptodrosophila lebanonensis, 610 nucleotides. RefSeq lists it as uncharacterized. The record is from RefSeq and is a predicted model, not a curated record. The transcript has 2 exons. NCBI's taxonomy places the organism in Eukaryota, Metazoa, Arthropoda, Insecta, Diptera, Drosophilidae.
CACGUUAGUUCGUUCGGAACAUAAAUAUAUUUUUUUAAAUUAUUUUGAAAGUAGUCAUCUUUCUCUUUAUAGUUAUUAUUUCAGAUUCUUUGUGCUUUUACGUUCCCAUAAGGAGGUCGAAAUUUUAUAGUUAUUCAGUGAUGGCAACUCGUCCCAAACGCCCAGGUUCUUCAUAUAUGAAAUGGUUUACAACGUGUGGCCGACAACUGAUGAAGGAACGGUAUCCCAACGCCACGGUUACGGAAAUCGCAAAAAAAUGUGGGGAGGAGUGGGCUCGGACGACAGAUGCGGAGAAGGCGGUCUGGAAGACGCUAGCAAAUAUUGCCAUGCACAAGUACAAACUGAGUAUAAAAGGAUGGAGGGCUUACCAAGCAGCAAAUGGCUUAAAAUGUCGUCAAUCGCCAAAGCGAAAGCGUAAAAAUAAAAAUAUUCGCCGACGCAAACGGUCGCGCCAAGCCGAGGACCCUGCAAGCCCAACUUAAACUAUUCUAGUCCAAACAGAGUCGAACUAAGCCUUGAAACCCCUGUCUACCGAAUCCCACUAUAUUAAUUGAACGAAGAAAUGAAAAAAAAAAGUUUUUACAAUGAAUAUAGUUAAUGCAUAAACGAA